AUCCCAGACUCCUACGGGAGGCAGCAGUCGGGAAUAUUGCGCAAUGGGGGAAACUCUGACGCAGUGACGCCGCGUAUAGGAAGAAGGUUUUCGGAUUGUAAACUAUUGUCGUUAGGGAAGAUAAAAGACUGUACCUAAGGAGGAAGCCCCGGCUAACUAUGUGCCAGCAGCCGCGGUAAUACAUAGGGGGCAAGCGUUAUCCGGAAUUAUUGGGUGUAAAGGGGGCGCAGACGGCAGCGCAAGCCAGGAGUGAAAGCCCGGGGCCCAACCCCGGGACUGCUCUUGGAACUGCGCGGCUGGAGUGCAGGAGGGGCAGGCGGAAUUCCUGGUGUAGCGGUGAAAUGCGUAGAUAUUAGGAGGAACACCAGUGGCGAAGGCGACUUUCUGGACGAUAACUGACGUUGAGGCACGAAAGUGUGGGGAGCAAACAGGAUUAGAUACCCGCGUAA
This 449-nucleotide ribosomal RNA is filed under the name uncultured bacterium. RNAcentral's name for it is "bacterial SSU rRNA". It matches the Rfam family "Bacterial small subunit ribosomal RNA", at positions 328 to 793 of the family's 1533-position model. The record is from RNAcentral.